RNAcentral lists this ribosomal RNA (429 nucleotides) under Gemmatimonadota bacterium. RNAcentral describes it as "Gemmatimonadetes bacterium partial 16S ribosomal RNA". It matches the Rfam family "Bacterial small subunit ribosomal RNA", at positions 355 to 776 of the family's 1533-position model. Lineage: Bacteria; Pseudomonadati; Gemmatimonadota. The record is from RNAcentral.
UAGGGAAUCUUCGGCAAUGGACGAAAGUCUGACCGAGCAACGCCGCGUGAGUGAAGAAGGUUUUCGGAUCGUAAAACUCUGUUGUUAGAGAAGAACAAGGACGUUAGUAACUGAACGUCCCCUGACGGUAUCUAACCAGAAAGCCACGGCUAACUACGUGCCAGCAGCCGCGGUAAUACGUAGGUGGCAAGCGUUGUCCGGAUUUAUUGGGCGUAAAGCGAGCGCAGGCGGUUUCUUAAGUCUGAUGUGAAAGCCCCCGGCUCAACCGGGGAGGGUCAUUGGAAACUGGGAGACUUGAGUGCAGAAGAGGAGAGUGGAUUUCCAUGUGUAGCGGUGAAAUGCGUAGAUAUAUGGAGGAACACCAGUGGCGAAGGCGGCUCUCUGGUCUGUAACUGACGCUGAGGCUCGAAAGCGUGGGGAGCAAACAGG